Molecule: ribosomal RNA, 496 nt
Filed under: uncultured bacterium
Lineage: Bacteria
Description: partial 16S ribosomal RNA
Rfam family: Bacterial small subunit ribosomal RNA
Source: RNAcentral
GAUGAACGCUGGCGGCGUGCCUAAUACAUGCAAGUCGAGCGAACGGACGAGAAGCUUGCUUCUCUGAUGUUAGCGGCGGACGGGUGAGUAACACGUGGAUAACCUACCUAUAAGACUGGGAUAACUUCGGGAAACCGGAGCUAAUACCGGAUGAUAUUUUGAACCGCAUGGUCAAAAGUGAAAGACGGUCUUGCUGUCACUUAUAGAUGGAUCCGCGCUGCAUUAGCUAGUUGGUAAGGUAACGGCUUACCAAGGCAACGAUGCAUAGCCGACCUGAGAGGGUGAUCGGCCACACUGGAACUGAGACACGGUCCAGACUCCUACGGGAGGCAGCAGUAGGGAAUCUUCCGCAAUGGGCGAAAGCCUGACGGAGCAACGCCGCGUGAGUGAUGAAGGUCUUCGGAUCGUAAAACUCUGUUAUUAGGGAAGAACAUAUGUGUAAGUAACUGUGCACAUCUUGACGGUACCUAAUCAGAAAGCCACGGCUAACUACGUG